Molecule: unclassified non-coding RNA, 253 nt
Filed under: uncultured bacterium
Lineage: Bacteria
Description: contains 16S-23S intergenic spacer region
Rfam family: Bacterial small subunit ribosomal RNA
Source: RNAcentral
UACGUGGGGAGCAAGCGUUGUUCGGAUUUACUGGGCGUAAAGAGCUCGUAGGCGGAUAUGUAAGUCGGAUGUGAAAUCCUCUGGCUCAACCAGAGAAUUGCACCCGAAACUGCAUAUCUUGAGUUCAGCAGAGGGAAUCGGAAUCGAGGGUGUAGCGGUGAAAUGCGUAGAGAUCCUCGAGAACACCAGUGGCGAAGGCGGAUUCCUGGGCUGACACUGACGCUGAGGAGCGAAAGCUGGGGGAGCGAACAGG